ACGGCGAGUGAAGCGGCAACAGCUCAAAUUUGAAAUCUGGCCCCCCGGCCCGAGUUGUAAUUUGCAGAGGAUGCUUCGGGCGCGGUGCCUUCCAAGUCCCCUGGAACGGGGCGCCGGAGAGGGUGAGAGCCCCGUACGGUUGGCGGCCAAGCCUGUGUGAAGCUCCUUCGACGAGUCGAGUAGUUUGGGAAUGCUGCUCUAAGCGGGAGGUAGACCCCUUCUAAAGCUAAAUAUAGGCCAGAGACCGAUAGCGCACAAGUAGAGUGAUCGAAAGAUGAAAAGCACUUUGAAAAGAGGGUUAAACAGCACGUGAAAUUGUUGAAAGGGAAGCGCUUGCGACCAGACGUGCGCCGGGGUGCUCAGCGGGCGUUCUCGCCCGUGCACUCGCCCCGGCGCAGGCCAGCGUCGGUUCGCGUGGGAGGAUAAAGGCGCCUGGAAUGUGGCUCCCCCGGGAGUGUUAUAGCCAGGCGUGCCAUGCUCCCCUGCGGACCGAGGUACGCGUUCUGCAAGGACGCUGGCGUAAUGGUCCCCAGCGACCCGUCUUGAAACACGGACCAAGGAGUCGAGGUUUUGCGCGAGUGUUUGGGUGUUAAACCCGCACGCGUAAUGAAAGUGAACGUAGGUGGGAGCUUCGGCGCACCACCGACCGAUCCUGAUGUUUUCGGAUGGAUUUGAGUAAGAGCGUAGGGCCUCGGACCCGAAAGAUGGUGAACUAUGCUUGGAUAGGGUGAAGCCAGAGGAAACUCUGGUGGAGGCUCGCAGCGGUUCUGACGUGCAAAUCGAUCGUCAA
This 790-nucleotide ribosomal RNA is filed under the name Chloridium sp. RNAcentral describes it as "partial large subunit ribosomal RNA". It matches the Rfam family "Eukaryotic large subunit ribosomal RNA", at positions 86 to 908 of the family's 3401-position model. The record is from RNAcentral. Lineage: Eukaryota; Fungi; Ascomycota; Sordariomycetes; Chaetosphaeriales; Chaetosphaeriaceae.